RNAcentral lists this ribosomal RNA (500 nucleotides) under uncultured Glomeromycotina. RNAcentral describes it as "partial small subunit ribosomal RNA". It matches the Rfam family "Eukaryotic small subunit ribosomal RNA", at positions 591 to 1092 of the family's 1831-position model. Lineage: Eukaryota; Fungi; Glomeromycota. The record is from RNAcentral.
CCAAUAGCGUAUAUUAAAGUUGUUGCAGUUAAAAAGCUCGUAGUUGAAUUUCGGGGUCAGUAGGUUGGUCAUGCCACUGGUAUGUACUGGUCUCACUGAUUCCUCCUUCCUGAUGAGCCGUAAUGCCAUUAAUUUGGUGUUGCGAGGAAUCUGGACUGUUACUUUGAAAAAAUUAGAGUGUUUAAAGCAGGCUAACGCUUGAAUACAUUAGCAUGGAAUAAUGAAAUAGGACGUUCGAUCCUAUUUUGUUGGUUUCUAAGAUUGACGUAAUGAUUAAUAGGGAUAGUUGGGGGCAUUAGUAUUCAAUUGUCAGAGGUGAAAUUCUUGGAUUUAUUGAAGACUAACUACUGCGAAAGCAUUUGCCAAGGAUGUUUUCAUUAAUCAAGAACGAAAGUUAGGGGAUCGAAGACGAUCAGAUACCGUCGUAGUCUUAACCAUAAACUAUGCCGACUAGGGAUCGGAUGAUGUUAAUUUUUUAAUGACUCAUUCGGCGCCUUACG